GAAUAGGGGAGCCGGAGGGAAACCGAGUCUUAACCGGGCGUUAAGUUGCAGGGUAUAGACCCGAAACCCGGUGAUCUAGCCAUGGGCAGGUUGAAGGUUGGGUAACACUAACUGGAGGACCGAACCGACUAAUGUUGAAAAAUUAGCGGAUGACCUGUGGCUGGGGGUGAAAGGCCAAUCAAACCGGGAGAUAGCUGGUUCUCCCCGAAAGCUAUUUAGGUAGCGCCUCGUGAAUUCAUCUCCGGGGGUAGAGCACUGUUUCGGCUAGGGGGCCAUCCCGGCUUACCAACCCGAUGCAAACUGCGAAUACCGGAGAAUGUUAUCACGGGAGACACACGGCGGGUGCUAACGUCCGUCGUGAAGAGGGAAACAACCCAGACCGCCAGCUAAGGUCCCAAAGUCAUGGUUAAGUGGGAAACGAUGUGGGAAGGCCCAGACAGCCAGGAUGUUGGCUUAGAAGCAGCCAUCAUUUAAAGAAAGCGUAAUAGCUCACUGGUCGAGUCGGCCUGCGCGGAAGAUGUAACGGGGCUAAACCAUGCACCGAAGCUGCGGCAGCGACGCUGAUGCGUUGUUGGGUAGGGGAGCGUUCUGUAAGCCUGCGAAGGUGUGUCGUGAGGCAUGCUGGAGGUAUCAGAAGUGCGAAUGCUGACAUAAGUAACGAUAAAGCGGGUGAAAAGCCCGCUCGCCGGAAGACCAAGGGUUCCUGUCCAACGUUAAUCGGGGCAGGGUGAGUCGACCCCUAAGGCGAGGCCGAAAGGCGUAGUCGAUGGGAAACGGGUUAAUAUUCCCGUACUUGGUGUUACUGCGAAGGGGGGACGGAGAAGGCUAUGUUGGCCGGGCGACGGUUGUCCCGGUUUAAGCGUGUAGGUGUGUGUUCCAGGUAAAUCCGGUUCACUUUAACACUGAGGCGUGAUGACGAGGCACUACGGUGCUGAAGCAACAAAUGCCCUGCUUCCAGGAAAAGCCUCUAAGCAUCAGGUAACAUCAAAUCGUACCCCAAACCGACACAGGUGGUCAGGUAGAGAAUACCAAGGCGCUUGAGAGAACUCGGGUGAAGGAACUAGGCAAAAUGGUGCCGUAACUUCGGGAGAAGGCACGCUGACACGUAGGUGAAGUGAUUUACUCAUGGAGCUGAAGUCAGUCGAAGAUACCAGCUGGCUGCAACUGUUUAUUAAAAACACAGCACUGUGCAAACACGAAAGUGGACGUAUACGGUGUGACGCCUGCCCGGUGCCGGAAGGUUAAUUGAUGGGGUCAGCGCAAGCGAAGCUCCUGAUCGAAGCCCCGGUAAACGGCGGCCGUAACUAUAACGGUCCUAAGGUAGCGAAAUUCCUUGUCGGGUAAGUUCCGACCUGCACGAAUGGCGUAAUGAUGGCCAGGCUGUCUCCACCCGAGACUCAGUGAAAUUGAACUCGCUGUGAAGAUGCAGUGUACCCGCGGCAAGACGGAAAGACCCCGUGAACCUUUACUAUAGCUUGACACUGAACAUUGAGCCUUGAUGUGUAGGAUAGGUGGGAGGCUUUGAAGUGUGGACGCCAGUCUGCAUGGAGCCGGCCUUGAAAUACCACCCUU
This 1572-nucleotide ribosomal RNA is filed under the name Salmonella enterica subsp. enterica serovar Johannesburg. Its description in RNAcentral is "partial 23S ribosomal RNA". It matches the Rfam family "Bacterial large subunit ribosomal RNA", at positions 655 to 2207 of the family's 2925-position model. The record is from RNAcentral. Lineage: Bacteria; Pseudomonadati; Pseudomonadota; Gammaproteobacteria; Enterobacterales; Enterobacteriaceae.